RNAcentral lists this ribosomal RNA (720 nucleotides) under Printzina sp. TreFl118. Its description in RNAcentral is "SSU rRNA". It matches the Rfam family "Eukaryotic small subunit ribosomal RNA", at positions 260 to 988 of the family's 1831-position model. The record is from RNAcentral. Lineage: Eukaryota; Viridiplantae; Chlorophyta; Ulvophyceae; Trentepohliales; Trentepohliaceae.
CUUCACGAAUCGCAUGGUCUUGAACCGGCGAUGUUUCAUUCAAAUUUCUGCCCUAUCAACUUUCGACGGUAGGGUAGUGGCCUACCGUGGUGGUAACGGGUGACGGAGGAUUAGGGUUCGAUUCCGGAGAGGGAGCCUGAGAAACGGCUACCACAUCCAAGGAAGGCAGCAGGCGCGCAAAUUACCCAAAUCCCAACUCGGGGAGGUAGUGACAAGAAAUAACGAUGCUCCGGCCUCACGGUCGGGUAAUCGGAAUGAGAACAAUUUAAAUCCCUUAUCGAGGAUCAAUUGGAGGGCAAGUCUGGUGCCAGCAGCCGCGGUAAUUCCAGCUCCAAUAGCGUAUAUUUAAGUUGCUGCGGUUAAAAAGCUCGUAGUCGGAUUUCGGGUGGCGCCUACCGGUCCGCCUUUGGUGAGUACUGGUAGGUGCCACCUUUCUGCCGAGGACGGGGUACUGGGCUUAAUUGUCUGGGCCCCGGAGUCGGCGAUGUCACUUUGAGUAAAUUAGGGUGUUCAAAGCAGGCUUAUGCUCUGUAUACACUAGCAUGGGAUGACACGAUAGGACUUCGGUUUAUCUUGUCGGUCUGUAAAUCGGAGUAAUGAUUAAGAGGGACAGUCGGGGGCAUUCGUAUUUCGUAGUCAGAGGUGAAAUUCUUGGAUUUACGGAAGACGAACUUCUGCGAAAGCAUUUGCCAAGGAUGUUUUCAUUGAUCAAGAACGAAA